UCUUUUUAAAUAACAGGUUGAGAAAGGGCCGGGCAAGACCGGUGCCAGCCGCCGCGGUAAUACCGGCGGCUCGAGUGGUGGCCACUAUUACUGGGCUUAAAGCGUCCGUAGCUGGUCUGUUAAGUCUCUGGGGAAAUCUUCCGGCUUAACCGGAAGGCGUCUCAGGGAUACUGGCAGACUAGGGACCGGGAGAGGUGAGAGGUACUCCAGGGGUAGGAGUGAAAUCCUGUAAUCCUUGGGGGACCACCUGUGGCGAAGGCGUCUCACCAGAACGGCUCCGACAGUGAGGGACGAAAGCUGGGGGAGCAAACCGGAUUAGAUACCCGGGUAGUCCCAGCUGUAAACGAUGCGCGUUAGGUGUAUCGGUGACCACGAGUCACCGAGGUGCCGAAGAGAAAUCGUGAAACGUGCCGCCUGGGAAGUACGGUCGCAAGGCUGAAACUUAAAGGAAUUGGCGGGGGAGCACCACAACGGGUGGAGCCUGCGGUUUAAUCGGACUCAACGCCGGGAAACUCACCGGAUAAGACACGCUGGAUGAUAGUCGGGCUGAAGACUCUACUUGACUAGCUGAGAGGAGGUGCAUGGCCGUCGUCAGUUCGUACUGUGAAGCAUCCUGUUAAGUCAGGCAACGAGCGAGACCCACGCCAACAGUUGCCACGCUCGUCCUCCGGGAUGGUGGGGACACUGUUGGGACCGCCUCUGCUAAAGAGGAGGAAGGAAUGGGCAACGGUAGGUCAGCAUGCCCCGAAUUAUCCGGGCUACACGCGGGCUACAAUGGGUGGGACAAUGGGUAUCGACACCGAAAGGUGAAGGCAAUCUCCUAAACCCAUCCUUAGUUCGGAUUGUGGGC
RNAcentral lists this ribosomal RNA (850 nucleotides) under uncultured euryarchaeote. RNAcentral describes it as "bacterial SSU rRNA". It matches the Rfam family "Archaeal small subunit ribosomal RNA", at positions 414 to 1261 of the family's 1478-position model. Lineage: Archaea; Methanobacteriati; Methanobacteriota. The record is from RNAcentral.